Long non-coding RNA from Haplochromis burtoni (Burton's mouthbrooder), 758 nucleotides. RefSeq lists it as uncharacterized. The record is from RefSeq and is a predicted model, not a curated record. The transcript is spliced from 3 exons. Lineage: Eukaryota; Metazoa; Chordata; Actinopteri; Cichliformes; Cichlidae.
AAUGCAAAAAUGUGUGCUAAAUAUGUAUCCUUCUGUAUUAUUUAGAAUCAAUCGGGGGCGUACCAAAGGCUAUGAAACAGAUGUUGGAACCAAAACAACUCAUCAUGUCAUGUAUCCAGAGAGUUCUACUAGACUGGACAAUACCACUCAUCUCUUGUUUUUUCCUUUCAAAACACGUGACUUUUUGUGGCUCAUGAAGGACUUAAAUCGAGGGGAAAAUGGUGCUCCAAACUUAAAGAAGAUAGCUAACAAAGAUUUGAUCUGGAUCCUCCAUCCGGCUUUCAUGAAAUAUGUUCAUCAAGUAUGGCUGGGAAAGAAGGGUGCUUAUCCAUCCACUGGCUUUCUUGCUGUGGUUCUCAGCCUAGUGAUGUGUGAUGAGGUAUGUUCACUUUAAACAAUUUGUACAUUAUGCAUCUGACUGACAGUGGUGGUAGUUAAACACUGAGAAACACUGAUUUACCAGCAAAGUUGAGAAAAGUCUGCCUUAGAUGACUACAUGACUAAAACAGGAAUCUAUGGUUAUUUCAAGAAGAGUCAAGAAGAGUGGACAUCUGAUGGUUGACACAUUUACCUGCAAACCAAAGGCAGCAACAACUCUAGCUAAAGACACAUGGGUUGUGUUUAAAGGUGGUACCAUGAAGGAUAUCAAGUGUUAAAAGUAUUGCCAAAUCGAACAUGUAGAGCCUACCCGCUUGUGUCAACAGAACAGCUGAAAGUAGUUUUACAUAACUCUUGGAUAGCAAUGUGUAAAAAUGCCA